AGCGCAGGCGGGAAGACAAGUUGGAAGUGAAAUCUAUGGGCUCAACCCAUAAACUGCUUUCAAAACUGUUUUUCUUGAGUAGUGCAGAGGUAGGCGGAAUUCCCGGUGUAGCGGUGGAAUGCGUGGAUAUCGGGAGGAACACCAGUGGCGAAGGCGGCCUACUGGGCACCAACUGACGCUGAGGCUCGAAAGUGUGGGUAGCAAACA
This 207-nucleotide ribosomal RNA is filed under the name uncultured bacterium. RNAcentral's name for it is "partial 16S ribosomal RNA". It matches the Rfam family "Bacterial small subunit ribosomal RNA", at positions 568 to 774 of the family's 1533-position model. The record is from RNAcentral.